This 1415-nucleotide long non-coding RNA is filed under the name Heterocephalus glaber (naked mole-rat). RNAcentral's name for it is "lncRNA (ENSHGLG00000043758.1)". Lineage: Eukaryota; Metazoa; Chordata; Mammalia; Rodentia; Bathyergidae. The record is from RNAcentral.
CCCCAGACUCUCGCCUCCUGGAAAUGUCCCCCAGGCUCCUCAGCUUUUUCAGCCCUGCCCUCUGCCCGAGUUCUCAGAAAUGAUGCAGCCUUGGGGGGCCCUGGACCCCAGCCCUAGGAGACAGACACUCUGCUUCGAGAAGACAACUGUUUUAAUGCCGUGGCCUCAGAGCCCCGCUGUCUUAUCUCUGGCUGUGACACUCGGUCCGGAGCCCCGAGGCACAGCCACCAGCACAGCGGCCGGGCUCCACUGGCCUGGGACAUGUCAGGGGACAGUCCUUCCGGGGCUCUGUGGGUCAGGUGUCAGAGGCCAGUCCUCGUGUCCAGUCUACCCUCAGACCUUGACAGGGUCCUGGAGCCCCUUCCCCAGCUGCCCUUGCCAAGCAGCACCCGGGGUGGGGGACAAAUCGGGAGCCCAGGACACCAGCCCAGCCAGCUCUGAGCUCCAACCACUCUUGCAGUGUGGGGAUCAGACGGACAGGUAGAUGGAGAAGUCGGCAGACUGGGGGUCAGCAUCACAGCGGCCAGGAGCAUUCCAUGCACGGGAGGCCAGCAGAGGAGACCCGUCCCCUGGGGAGCUCUGUGGCCUGGGACAGGAGGCUGAGGCCCCAGGGGUGGGCACAGGUUUGGCUGGUCCUUAGUAUGGGCGGGGGGGUGGGCAAGGGACCUGGCCAGGCCUGGGCCUGGAUGCAGGUGACCCCCUCUCGGCCCCCAAGUCCUUGAUAUAAAAUAAUCCACCCACAAAGAUAACAGCCCAUGUGUGGGUGGGCCCAGCACAGCCUGCACUCCUCCACGAAGCAGGCGGCCGUGCAGCCAGGUCUAGCUGUCCUCCACCCUCCUCUGGCUCUUGGAAUGAAACUUGCUCAUGAGUUCCUCCAGCUCUGAGCCGCUCUGCUGUGUCUAGGAAGGAUGGAUGGGGUCUCAGCCUGCGCUGCGUGUCAGGCCCCCAGCAGGCGGGGUGCAGGGUAGAGGCUCAGGGCGCUCACCUCCAGGACAGCCUUUUGCACCGUGAGCUGGCUGUACACGCGGACGCCCUCCUCCCCGCACACCUUCUUCAGCUCGUCCUUGUUGAGUGAGAACAGCUGAGGCCCGGUCAGUAUGCCCAGGUUCUCCACGAUGCUGCGGGAGCGUGAGGGCGGCGUGGUGGGCGUGGCAGCCUGGCGCCUGCACUCACCUAAGCCCAGCUGCACGCACCUGAGCCCUCCUGUCACCCCUACCGCCCUGUACCGCUCACCGGCUGCUGAAGGCUUUGGCCUCCAGCCAGGCGCGGACCUCAUCGGGUCCCGACUCGAAGGUGAGCGGCAGGCGCACAGGCUGGCUGCGCUCCACGCGGAAGGGCCGGGACUGCUGCACCUUGAUGUGGCUAAUCUUCUUCAUCAGCUCGUCGUUCACCUCGUCCAUGUGGUGGAUCAGCUC